GCCACGGGGCGCGGGGCAGCCCGCCUGGCCCCAGGGUGCACUGCGGCCACGUGCGCGCGCGCGCCUCCACUGCCGAGCGACUGCGGGAAAAUUCCAAAAGUCGAAACAAAACAGAAAAGCAAUACGAGGCAAAGCCAGAUUUUCAAGCCACAGAACCCCGGCGGUGGCGCCCUUUCCGCCACCGCCCAAACUGCUGAAGCAGCUCUGGCGCGGACCACCCGAUUUGCUGCGUGCUCACUGUCUCCCUCAGCGCUUGGCAGGCCACUGUGGAGGUGCAUCCCCUUUUCCCUUUCCUGAGAUGGCUCAAGACUCAGUAGGCCUUUCUUCUGAUUACCAGUUUUGGAUGCAGAAGGUUUCUACAUGGGACCAGGCCUCCACUGUGGAAACCCAGCAAGACACCUGUCUUCACCUGCCUCGGUUUCAGGAGUUCCUGAGGCAGAUGUAUGAAGCCUUGAAAGAGAUGGAUUCAAAUACAGUCAUUGAAAGAUUCCCCACAAUUGGUCAACUGUUGGCAAAAACUUGCCGGAAUCCUUUUAUCUUAGCGUAUGAUGAAAGCCAAAAAAUUCUAAUAUGGUGCUUAUGUUGUCUGAUUAACAAAGAACCACAGAAUUCUGGAGACUCAAAACUUAACUCCUGGACACGGGGGCUGUUAUGUCAUGUACUUUCAGCAUUCAGAUUUGAUAUAAGAGAAGUUGGUCUUUUUACUCAAGGUCUUGGCUAUGCACCUGCAGAUUACUAUCCUGGUUUGCUUAAAAAUAUGGUUUUAUCGUUAGUGUCUGAACUCAGAGAGAAUCAUCUUAAUGGAUUUAACACUCAAAGACGAAUGACUCCUGAACGAGUGAGGGCCCUGUCACGAGUUUGUGUCCCGCUUAUUACUCUGCCGGAUUUUGAACCCCUGGUGGAGGCGCUGCUCACCUGCCAUGGAUGUGAACCUCAGGAGGUGCUCUGGCCUGAGUUCUUCGAUGCUGUGAGUGAGGCCUUUUUGCUGAAGAAGAUUUCUCUCCCCACGUCCGCGGUAGUCUGCCUCUGGCUUCGGCACCUUCCCAGCCUUGAAAAAGCAAUGCUGCACCUUUUCGAAAAGCUAAUCUCCAGUGAGAGAAAUUUUCUGAGGAUCGAACGCUUCGUGAGAGAUUCCUCGCUGCCUGAAGCCGCCUGCCACCCUGCCAUAUUCAGAAUUGUUGACGAAACAUUCAGGUACGCACUCCUGGAAACUGAUGGAGCCCCAGAAAUCCUGGCCACCAUUCAAGUGUUUACACGGUGUUUCUUAGAAGCUCUGGAAAAAGAAAACAAGCAGCUUAAGUUUGCCCUGAGGACCUACUUUCCUUAUGCUUCGCCAUCUCUUGUCACGGCGCUACUCCAGCACCCGAAAGAUAUCCCACAGGGACUCUGGCACCAGUCACUGCAACAUAUUUCAGAAAUGCUCCGAGAAAUAGUUGAAGACCAGACUCACGGGUCCUAUGGAGGCCCCUCUGACUGCUGGUUUGCAUUCAUUCACUUUGGAGGCUGGGCUGAUGUCGCUGCUGAGCAGUUACUGAGGUCAGAAGCUGAUCCUCCUGAAGCAGUGCUGUGGCUCUUGGCCUUUAGCUACAGUCCACGUGACGGGAGUCAGCAGAGGGCACAGACCAUGGAGGAGGUGAAGGCAGUGCUCGGCCGCCUCCUGAAGCUGCUCAGAAGUCCAGGCUUCUCGGCCAGGGAUGUGCAGGCAGCAGCUGGACAGAGCCGAGAAGAAGCCCCCAGGCCACUGGAGUGUGGACCGCUGAUCAGGCGCCUCCUCCUGAACUUCCUGCUCUGGGCUCCUGGAGCCCACGCGAUUGCCCAGGAAGUCAUCACCCUUAUGGCUCCAACUCGUGAGAUAACCCACGAGAUUACUGGCUUCCUCGACCAGACCCUGUACAGAUGGGAUCAUCUUUGCACCACAGCCCCUGCGUCGAGAAAACUGGCCAGCGAGCUCCUCACAGAGCUGCGCGGGCAAGUCUAGCACAGGCCCAUUGGAGAUGUCGUGGCCAUGCAGGGGCCUGGGGUUGCCAGGGCCAUGAACGAAAUGAGGAGGCUGCUUCUUAGGGCUCCAAGUUUGUAGUAUGAGUACCCUCUCUGAGCUGUCAGGAUGAGCCAAGAACAUCUUGGCAAGUUCUAGUGGUACAUAUUUUACACGUUGAGAAGACAGGUGCUGUAGCCCAAACCUAGAUUUAGUCACUAGUGGCUGGCUUAUGCCUCCAGAUUCCCUGUGCCUGCCCAGCCCAGGACGCCCAUUACAGAAUCACUGAAGAAGGGCUGGCUGGAGAGCAUUUCCCAUGCCAACCAAGAUGCACAACUAUUAUGUGAAUGUGUCAAAGUCUUUGGACCCAGAAAUUGGUCAUGAACUACUGAUCAAUUUAGACAGGAACUUAGCCCUUUUCCACAGACCUUUUCCAGAAGUCAGGUGAUUGUUACUGGUAUUUCUUUUAAUCCACAGGGAUUUGAGAUAAAGCCCCAUUCUCUUUCUUCCCUAAGAAAGUCUUCAUUCAGGAGGGUCAGGACCCCUGGAGUUUCCCUUGGCGCCCCCCGAGCAGGCCCAGGGGAAGCAGAGCCCACCCGCCCAGGGGCAGGUGUGGUGCAGGGCCGCUGCUCACCGGGGCUGCGUGCUGGCCCUGCUGUGGACGGCACCACUGCCCAGCGGGGAAUAGCCGGUCUGGUGCUGGCUUUUCCUGCUCUCUAUUUGCUGAACACUGACUGCCACCAAAAGAAUUGAUAUCACCUCAAAGACGGCUGAGAGAGGAGGGUCCAGGAUGCGUUCCAGAAACAUCGGAAGAGAUGAGGAAACUGAAGCCCAGAAAGGUUCUGCAGACGACAGCUCACAGGGCUGGGACCUGAGCAGAGGAACCUACGGACUGCGCACUGUGCCUCUCGAGGCCAGGAUGUUCCGACAAUGGAGACAUCAAAAUAGAGGCAAAGUAUGUGCCAAUCGUGAAACAUUCUGCCACACAGAAGAAUCACUGUGUACUCUGUUUCCAUCUGAGCACGACGCAGGGUGUGGACAUGCGUUUGCUGGAGCGCAUCCUUAGAGUCUCUGCUGCGGCAGAGACGGGUCAGUCUCCUAACAGGGACGAGUUUGGAGAAGGGACCAGGACAACAGGGGGAGGAACACUUACUUUUUGCUUACAAAUUGUUUAUAUUUGUUUCCGUGUUUGAUGUAUGCACAACCAGAAGCUCAAAUCAUCAAUACACAAGGGAAGGUU
Non-coding RNA from Equus caballus (horse), 3215 nucleotides. Lineage: Eukaryota; Metazoa; Chordata; Mammalia; Perissodactyla; Equidae. The record is from RefSeq and is a predicted model, not a curated record.